CCUACGGGAGGCAUCAGUGAGGAAUAUUUGUCCCUGGGCUUACGCCUGAACCAGCCAAGUCGCGUGAGGGAAGACUGCCCUAUUGGUUGUAAACCUCUUUUGUCAGGGAGCAAUUGGCGCUACGUGUAGCGUUAUCGAGAGUACCUGAAGAAAAAGCAUCGGCUAACUCCGUGCCAGCAGCCGCGGUAAUACGGAGGAUGCGAGCGUUAUCCGGAUUUAUUGGGUUUAAAGGGUGCGUAGGCGGAAUGCCAAGUCAGCGGUAAAAGCGCGGGGCUCAACCUCGCUCCGCCGUUGAAACUGGCGUUCUUGAGUGGGCGAGAAGUAUGCGGAAUGCGUGGUGUAGCGGUGAAAUGCAUAGAGAUCACGCAGAACUCCGAUUGCGAAGGCAGCAUACCGGCGCCCAACUGACGCUGAAGCACGAAAGCGUGGGUAUCGAACAGGAUUAGAUACCCUUGUAGUC
This 460-nucleotide ribosomal RNA is filed under the name uncultured bacterium. RNAcentral describes it as "partial 16S ribosomal RNA". It matches the Rfam family "Bacterial small subunit ribosomal RNA", at positions 338 to 795 of the family's 1533-position model. The record is from RNAcentral.